UACGAAGGGGGCUAGCGUUGCUCGGAAUCACUGGGCGUAAAGGGUGCGUAGGCGGGUUUUUAAGUCAGAGGUGAAAUCCUGGAGCUCAACUCCAGAACUGCCUUUGAUACUGGAAAUCUUGAGUAUGGGAGAGGUGAGUGGAACUGCGAGUGUAGAGGUGAAAUUCGUAGAUAUUCGCAAGAACACCAGUGGCGAAGGCGGCUCACUGGCCCAUAACUGACGCUGAGGCA
This 230-nucleotide ribosomal RNA is filed under the name uncultured microorganism. Its description in RNAcentral is "partial 16S ribosomal RNA". It matches the Rfam family "Bacterial small subunit ribosomal RNA", at positions 524 to 753 of the family's 1533-position model. The record is from RNAcentral.